CAGGCUGCAACUCGCCUGCAUGAAGGCGGAAUUGCUAGUAAUCGCGGAUCAGCAUGCCGCGGUGAAUACGUUCCCGGGCCUUGUACACACCGCCCGUCACACCAUGGAAGUCUGCAAUGCCCGAAGCCGGUGGCCUAACCACUUAUGUGGAAGGAGCCGUCUAAGGCAGGGCAGAUGACUGGGGUGAAGUCGUAACAAGGUAAC
RNAcentral lists this ribosomal RNA (204 nucleotides) under uncultured bacterium. RNAcentral describes it as "partial 16S ribosomal RNA". It matches the Rfam family "Bacterial small subunit ribosomal RNA", at positions 1301 to 1500 of the family's 1533-position model. The record is from RNAcentral.